RNAcentral lists this ribosomal RNA (119 nucleotides) under Pteropus alecto (black flying fox). The record is from RNAcentral. Lineage: Eukaryota; Metazoa; Chordata; Mammalia; Chiroptera; Pteropodidae.
GUCUAAGGCCAUGCCACCCUGAACGUGCCCGAUCUCAUGUGAUCGUGGAAGCUAAGCACGGUCGGGCCUGGUUAGUACUUGAAUGGGAGACCACGUCGGAGGACCGGGUACUGCAGGCA